GGAGAGAUGACCGAGGGGCCGAAGGUGCACGAUUGGAAGUCGUGUGUACCCGGAAGGGUACCGUGGGUUCAAAUCCCACUCUCUCCG
Molecule: transfer RNA, 87 nt
Filed under: Treponema sp.
Lineage: Bacteria; Pseudomonadati; Spirochaetota; Spirochaetia; Treponematales; Treponemataceae
Description: tRNA-Ser
Rfam family: tRNA
About the family: Transfer RNA (tRNA) molecules are approximately 80 nucleotides in length. Their secondary structure includes four short double-helical elements and three loops (D, anti-codon, and T loops).
Source: RNAcentral